Long non-coding RNA from Cotesia glomerata, 433 nucleotides. RefSeq lists it as uncharacterized. Lineage: Eukaryota; Metazoa; Arthropoda; Insecta; Hymenoptera; Braconidae. The record is from RefSeq and is a predicted model, not a curated record. The transcript has 4 exons.
GUCAUUGGUUUUAUCUCCACAGAGGAGUGUGGUUGGAACGUCAGUGUAUCGCGUUCAUUAAAACAUAAAAGUUCGUUGUUGCGACGAAAUCUUGGAAGCACAACAGGCUACUGUAUUUGGUAUAUAAUUUAUUGCUGAACAAGUCACUUUAGCAAAACAAAGGUCACUGUUCUUCAACGACUCACCCCAUACUCGCAUGACUCAUGAGAUAAAGCCUUCAUUAUAUUAAUUAUAUUUAUAAAAUUUUCAGAUCGGUAGUUCAGGCUCCACUGGCUGUACGUCAAUUAAAUUGGUAUUUCGCAACGCUCAUUUCUAUCGGCGCCUAAUUUAUUUAGACAUUUCAGAAUGAGCGGCAUGAGAAAACGGACAACUACGUUGACGUCUACUGAGUGCAAAGAAAUACAUGACCAGUGGAAGUGCAAAUCGGCUGAAG